GACGAACGCUGGCGGCGUGCUUAACACAUGCAAGUCGUACGGUAAGGCCCUUUCGGGGGUACACGAGUGGCGAACGGGUGAGUAACACGUGAGUAACCUGCCCACAACUUUGGGAUAACGCUAGGAAACUGGUGCUAAUACUGGAUAUGUGCUCCUGCUGCAUGGUGGGGGUUGGAAAGCUCCGGCGGUUGUGGAUGGACUCGCGGCCUAUCAGCUUGUUGGUGGGGUAGUGGCCUACCAAGGCGGCGACGGGUAGCCGGCCUGAGAGGGUGACCGGCCACAUUGGGACUGAGAUACGGCCCGGACUCCUACGGGAGGCAGCAGUGGGGAAUAUUGCACAAUGGGCGCAAGCCUGAUGCAGCAACGCCGCGUGCGGGAUGACGGCCUUCGGGUUGUAAACCGCUUUCAGCAGGGACGAAGCUUUUUGUGACGGUACCUGCAGAAGAAGCACCGGCUAACUACGUG
RNAcentral lists this ribosomal RNA (465 nucleotides) under uncultured bacterium. RNAcentral's name for it is "partial 16S ribosomal RNA". It matches the Rfam family "Bacterial small subunit ribosomal RNA", at positions 28 to 507 of the family's 1533-position model. The record is from RNAcentral.